AAGGGCUCAAGUAUAUCUACAAAACUUGCAAAUAGACAAAUUGUCCACUUACAAGAUCAUUAAUGCAGAAUUUAGUUUAUUUAGAAUAAAAAUUAACGUACAUAAUAUAUGGGAUUCGAUCGAGUUGGUUACAGAUUACAACUUGACAGGAAUUUACGAAAACUUUUUACCGAUUUAUGGAUUAGGUGAAAUCGAUGCAAUCGCGAAAGGUCUAGAUAUAGAUGUGAUAGUGGGCCUUUCAAUAAAAUAUGGGGAUUUAUACGUACAAAGUUUCCAAUCAGCGAUCAAACUUGAAGAAUUCGACAUUAAAGUAACUGGAUUAUUUCACGACGAACAUAUUUCAAACACCAUAAGCACCAUCCUAUCGAAUAUUGUACCACAAUUGGUGGAUGAUUAUCAAGAAAAAUUAACCGAAAUAUUGAACUCUUUGGCUACAGAUGCCAUUAACGAUUU
Polistes canadensis is the source of this 453-nucleotide long non-coding RNA. RefSeq lists it as uncharacterized. NCBI's taxonomy places the organism in Eukaryota, Metazoa, Arthropoda, Insecta, Hymenoptera, Vespidae. The record is from RefSeq and is a predicted model, not a curated record. The transcript is spliced from 3 exons.